This 504-nucleotide ribosomal RNA is filed under the name uncultured bacterium. Its description in RNAcentral is "bacterial SSU rRNA". It matches the Rfam family "Bacterial small subunit ribosomal RNA", at positions 8 to 507 of the family's 1533-position model. The record is from RNAcentral.
AGAGUUUGAUCAUGGCUCAGGAUGAACGCUAGCGGCAGGCUUAAUACAUGCAAGUCGAACGGGAUCCGAGGUAGCAAUACUUUGGUGAGAGUGGCGCACGGGUGCGUAACGCGUAUGCAACCUACCUUUAACAGGGGAAUAGCCCCGAGAAAUCGGGAUUAAUACUCCGUAACAUUGCGGGAUGGCAUCAUUCUGCAAUUAAAGAUUUAUCGGUUAAAGAUGGGCAUGCGUGACAUUAGCUUGUUGGUGAGGUAACGGCUCACCAAGGCAACGAUGUCUAGGGGUCCUGAGAGGGUUAUCCCCCACACUGGUACUGAGACACGGACCAGACUCCUACGGGAGGCAGCAGUAAGGAAUAUUGGUCAAUGGGCGCAAGCCUGAACCAGCCAUGCCGCGUGCAGGAAGACGGCCCUAUGGGUUGUAAACUGCUUUUGUCAGGGAAUAAACCUGUCUACGUGUAGACAGCUGAAGGUACCUGAAGAAUAAGCAUCGGCUAACUCCGUG